Non-coding RNA from Pelobates cultripes (western spadefoot toad), 239 nucleotides. The record is from the annotation of a GenBank genome assembly. Lineage: Eukaryota; Metazoa; Chordata; Amphibia; Anura; Pelobatidae.
CUUUCUCCCAGAUACAUAGAUAUAUAGACACACACACCACACACACUCUUACACAAUGUGAGACACACACAUGUUCACACUGUGAGAUGCACAGAAAUACACAAUUUGAGACACAUGCAACCACAAAUACAUAUUGCAACGCACAGAGAUACACACUGCCACAUCACACACAGAUACACAGACUUACAUAAAGACAGACACUGCCAGACACACAUACAUAUAAAUACUGCAAGAUACAC